RNAcentral lists this transfer RNA (68 nucleotides) under Takydromus hsuehshanensis. Its description in RNAcentral is "partial tRNA-Val". It matches the Rfam family "tRNA". From Rfam's summary of the family: Transfer RNA (tRNA) molecules are approximately 80 nucleotides in length. Lineage: Eukaryota; Metazoa; Chordata; Lepidosauria; Squamata; Lacertidae. The record is from RNAcentral.
CAAAAAAUAGCUUAUUAAAGCACCUAGCUUACAACUAGGAGAUGUCUAAUUUACUAAGACUUUUUUGC